GGAGGUAUGGCCGAGUGGUUGAAGGCGGCGGUCUUGAAAACCGUAGACGGCUGAAACCGUCCGUGGGUUCAAAUCCUACUACCUCCG
Molecule: transfer RNA, 87 nt
Filed under: Lachnospiraceae bacterium
Lineage: Bacteria; Bacillati; Bacillota; Clostridia; Lachnospirales; Lachnospiraceae
Description: tRNA-Ser
Rfam family: tRNA
About the family: Transfer RNA (tRNA) molecules are approximately 80 nucleotides in length. Their secondary structure includes four short double-helical elements and three loops (D, anti-codon, and T loops). Further hydrogen bonds mediate the characteristic L-shaped molecular structure. tRNAs have two regions of fundamental functional importance: the anti-codon, which is responsible for specific mRNA codon recognition, and the 3' end, to which the tRNAs corresponding amino acid is attached (by aminoacyl-tRNA synthetases). tRNAs cope with the degeneracy of the genetic code in two manners: having more than one tRNA (with a specific anti-codon) for a particular amino acid; and 'wobble' base-pairing, i.e. permitting non-standard base-pairing at the 3rd anti-codon position.
Source: RNAcentral